RNAcentral lists this ribosomal RNA (253 nucleotides) under uncultured bacterium. RNAcentral's name for it is "partial 16S ribosomal RNA". It matches the Rfam family "Bacterial small subunit ribosomal RNA", at positions 524 to 776 of the family's 1533-position model. The record is from RNAcentral.
UACGAGGGGGGCGAGCGUUGUUCGGAAUUAUUGGGCGUAAAGAGCGUGUAGGCGGCCAAACAGGUCAGCUGUGAAAACUCGAGGCUCAACCUCGAGACGUCGGUUGAAACCGUUUGGCUAGAGUCCGGAAGAGGAGAGUGGAAUUCCCGGUGUAGCGGUGAAAUGCGCAGAUAUCGGGAAGAACACCCGUGGCGAAGGCGGCACUCUGGGACGGUACUGACGCUGAGACGCGAAAGCGUGGGGAGCGAACAGG